CAGAGGUGCAAGCGUUAAUCGGAAUUACUGGGCGUAAAGCGAGCGUAGGUGGCUUGAUAAGUCAGAUGUGAAAUCCCCGGGCUUAACCUGGGAACUGCAUCUGAUACUGUUAGGCUAGAAUAGGUGAGAGGAAGGUAGAAUUCCAGGUGUAGCGGUGAAAUGCGUAGAGAUCUGGAGGAAUACCGAUGGCGAAGGCAGCCUUCUGGCAUCAUAUUGACACUGAGUUCGAAAGCGUGGGUAGCAAACAGGAUU
This 252-nucleotide ribosomal RNA is filed under the name uncultured bacterium. RNAcentral describes it as "partial 16S ribosomal RNA". It matches the Rfam family "Bacterial small subunit ribosomal RNA", at positions 527 to 779 of the family's 1533-position model. The record is from RNAcentral.